GAUGAAGAACGCAGCGAAAUGCGAUAAGUAAUGUGAAUUGCAGAAUUCAGUGAACCAUCGAAUCUUUGAACGCACAUUGCGCCCUGUGGUAUUCCGCAGGGCAUGCCUGUUCGAGCGUCAUUUCAACCCUCAAGCCUCGCUUGGUGUUGGGCCCUGCCCGCCGCGGCCGGCCCUAAAGAUAGUGGCGGCGCCGCCUGGCCCUCAGCGUAGUACAGCUCUCGCUCCAGGGUCCGGCGGCAGCCUGCCAGAACCCCCCAACUCUGUGGUUGACCUCGGAUCAGGUAGGGAUACCCGCUGAACUUAAGCAUAUCAAUAAGCGGAGGA
RNAcentral lists this unclassified non-coding RNA (324 nucleotides) under soil metagenome. RNAcentral's name for it is "partial contains 5.8S ribosomal RNA, internal transcribed spacer 2, and large subunit ribosomal RNA". The stretch from base 1 to 120 matches the Rfam family "5.8S ribosomal RNA", at positions 35 to 154 of the family's 154-position model. The record is from RNAcentral.